GGCUUAUCAGAUCUCUCUACCCUUGUCUUGUACCAUCCUUAACACACAUCGUAGACUGCUCUCUUUCACCUGGUGUUGUUCCUGCUCCCCGUAAGCAUGCUUUUGUCAUACCCAGUGGUGUAUUUUGAAAUGGUGCUGCCCUAGGCAUGACAGAUCUCGGGCACCCCCUAAUUUGAAUGUACCUGCCCCUUCCUGCCAAGGCCACACCCCUUCCUGUUAACUAAUACACAUUUUGACUGACAGAAACACACUCACGGAC
Molecule: non-coding RNA, 259 nt
Organism: Pelobates cultripes (western spadefoot toad)
Lineage: Eukaryota; Metazoa; Chordata; Amphibia; Anura; Pelobatidae
Source: the annotation of a GenBank genome assembly